This 84-nucleotide microRNA precursor is filed under the name Eptesicus fuscus (big brown bat). RNAcentral describes it as "microRNA efu-mir-30d precursor". Its record names the gene efu-mir-30d. It matches the Rfam family "mir-30 microRNA precursor family". From Rfam's summary of the family: This family consists of the mammalian microRNA (miRNA) precursor mir-30a. The record is from miRBase by way of RNAcentral. Lineage: Eukaryota; Metazoa; Chordata; Mammalia; Chiroptera; Vespertilionidae.
AAGUCUGUGGUUGUAAACAUCCCCGACUGGAAGCUGUAAGACAGAACUAAGCUUUCAGUCAGAUGUUUGCUGCUACCAGCUUUU